Molecule: ribosomal RNA, 240 nt
Filed under: uncultured bacterium
Lineage: Bacteria
Description: partial 16S ribosomal RNA
Rfam family: Bacterial small subunit ribosomal RNA
Source: RNAcentral
UGGCGAACGGGUGAGUAACGCGUGAGGAACCUGCCUCAAAGAGGGGGACAACAGUUGGAAACGACUGCUAAUACCGCAUAAGCCCACGACCCGGCAUCGGGAAGAGGGAAAAGGAGCAAUCCGCUUUGAGAUGGCCUCGCGCCCGAUUAGCUAGUUGGUGAGGUAACGGCCCACCAAGGCAACGAUCGGUAGCCGGACUGAGAGGUUGAACGGCCACAUUGGGACUGAGACACGGCCCAG